Molecule: non-coding RNA, 124 nt
Organism: Domibacillus antri
Lineage: Bacteria; Bacillati; Bacillota; Bacilli; Caryophanales; Bacillaceae
Source: Rfam
AGAACCUUUAAAGAACAGUCCCGAGAGGCUGGGAAGGGAUCGGAUGAAAUGCGGGAUGCGUAUGCCUGCAUGUAAAGGAAUCAGUAUGCCUUCUCACCAAAACGGGUGAGGAGGCUUUUUUCAU